UCUUCCGUAGUAUAGUGGUAAGUAUGCAAGCUUGUCACGCUUGAGACCCGGGUUCAAUUCCCGGCGGGAGAG
Molecule: transfer RNA, 72 nt
Filed under: Fusarium torulosum
Lineage: Eukaryota; Fungi; Ascomycota; Sordariomycetes; Hypocreales; Nectriaceae
Also listed under: 1 other name
Description: transfer RNA-Asp(GTC)
Rfam family: tRNA
About the family: Transfer RNA (tRNA) molecules are approximately 80 nucleotides in length. Their secondary structure includes four short double-helical elements and three loops (D, anti-codon, and T loops). Further hydrogen bonds mediate the characteristic L-shaped molecular structure. tRNAs have two regions of fundamental functional importance: the anti-codon, which is responsible for specific mRNA codon recognition, and the 3' end, to which the tRNAs corresponding amino acid is attached (by aminoacyl-tRNA synthetases). tRNAs cope with the degeneracy of the genetic code in two manners: having more than one tRNA (with a specific anti-codon) for a particular amino acid; and 'wobble' base-pairing, i.e. permitting non-standard base-pairing at the 3rd anti-codon position.
Source: RNAcentral